Lemur catta (Ring-tailed lemur) is the source of this 2166-nucleotide long non-coding RNA. RefSeq lists it as uncharacterized. Lineage: Eukaryota; Metazoa; Chordata; Mammalia; Primates; Lemuridae. The transcript has 3 exons. The record is from RefSeq and is a predicted model, not a curated record.
UUGAGUCCAGUGAGUCCGGCUCACAGAGAGCUUUUCUGGAAAGGCAUUCGGGUGUUUUUAAUAAGCCCGUUGGAUACUGUUCGUGAAUCCUUAAAGAAAUCAGGAAUAGACAGCUGCAGAUUCCCAGGCACAGAGAAAAUUUGACCCUGAAAGCUGCCCCGAGACCUGUGAAAGCCCAGACCCCGCCCUCUCUUCCAGUUCGGAGGAAAACACCCAACAACAACAUGGACAACAACAAUAACAACAAGGACAAAGAGUGGGUGUGCUGGGAAUUCCACCGGCGUGAGUGUGCCGGGAAAGGCCUGGCAUGGGACGGCGGCUGGUGAAAAACAGCUUUGAACACCUUCCAUCUGCGGUUGGUUGAGCGCAGGGAAGCAGAGCCCGCGGACGCGGAGCCCACCGUGUGUGUCUGGUCCUCGCGGGCACCUGUGUUUCCGUAUUUGCUGUCGCAUCAAUAAAGACACGAGCGUGAUCUUCCUCGGGGGGAAUACUUUUACUUAAAAUCAAGAACAGGGCAACUGCGGUGUCCCUGUGAAACGUGGCAGGUGAGUAACCACGUCGCGGUUGUGGGGCGCAGCCGGCGAAGACCAGCGCUGUGCUUUGUCCUGACGAGAGAGAACCGGGCACGGUCGCGGGCAGCGCUGCUGAGCUUUGCCCGACGUCCCGCCACCCGGACUGCGAGGGGCUGCUCUGGUCCUGCGUGUACCCCCCCGGGGGUGAAGGCUGAGGGGGUUCCUGCCCCCGGCUCCAGAACCGGACUUCAGCGUCAAAAUGGCAACAGGCCGUGGGACUUAUUAUUAGAUUUUCUCUUUCCUGGUACAAGCUAUUCUCAGAAGAAAAUUUUUAUUUAUUCAUUUAUUGUUUGCUAAGAAGCAAAACCCAUAUUUCUGGAGUGUGUGUGAGCAUGGAGUCAAAACCAUGGAAUAACAGACACAGGCAUUUUGACAAUCUUGUCUCUUAGAACUGAGUUUAGAACCGCCUGCCGCUGGCCCCAGGCUGCCUCUGACGGACAGAAACGGGGUCCCUUCUGCAGGAGGCCUGGCCCUGGGGACGGUCCAGGUUUCUUCCGGGGGCUUCGCCGUCUGUUCUUGCUGUUGCUCACACGGCCUCAGAGGUUCCACGCUGCAGCUUCCUCCCUUCAGAUGGAUUCUCAACAAAGAUUCUCUUUUCUGGUCAAAACUGUCAUGAUUACUUUCUUAUUUUUAAAAGAAUCCGGAUACUUCCUGGUGUACGGCCCCCUGCAGCCUCUCAAAAGCCACAGUGGGGCUGGGGAGGCAGGAAGCCUGCUCGACCGUCCUCUGUGCACCAGACCUGCCGCUCCUUCGCGAGAUGCGCUCCAGCCUGGCUUGUGACAAUUUACCAGGUUUGCUGCAUUUAAUUUCCAUCAGUUAUGGAAAAUCAGGACUUUGCUUCUUGCAUCCCUGGGCCCGCUGCUCUGCACAAGGACACAGCUUGUCUUGGAUGUGGGAAGAAGGCAUGGGACAGACAUCUUUAUCUGGUAUAUUUCCUUUCUCCAACCUGAGCGUGUGAACCCCCAGCUGAGGGCGGCAGGUCCCUCUAGAGGACAUGUCACAGCGAUUAGGAGACCAAGCUGCCAUGGGGUUUGCAAGGCAUCCGAUAAACUCAGCUCAGCCAUAUUCACGCACCACAACCAGGACUGCAAAUCCUUGACAAUGAACUUGUGCUGGGGCCGGCGGGGGGACAGGAGGCUGUGAGUGAGGGCAUGGCGUGGCGCUCUCACUGGGACGGGAUGGGGACGGGUUGGACGUGGGAACAGGAGCCCUUGUGUCGGAAUCUUGUUGGCGGCAAACAGAGAGUUUCAGUGAGUGGCGCAUUUACACUGUUACUAGGGAUGGGAAACAAUGAGAGUCUUAUGAGACUUGUUUACACAACCAGAAAACACAUUUAGCUUCUAGAAGCAGAGUGCUGGUGGCAAAUGUCUGACAUUCAGUUAUGACACACCAAAUAGUUCCCUUCCCCAUGGGUCAGCAAGUUCUGGAAGGCCUCCCCUAAUUCAAGGUGCCAGGAGCCAUAAAUCCAUACUUAAUUAGCUUUGUAUGAAAUGCAAAAGAUGAUAGACUCUUUGUGCUAAAAACGAAACCCAAACCGGUCUGGUUGAUUUAUGUCUAAUUCAGAGUUGUAAUUUAAUUAAAACGACAUGCUGAA